GGAGGCCUCUGGGUUCUGAGCUGUGAUGCUCUUUCUGAGCUGGGAUCUCUGGGGUCUUGGU
This 61-nucleotide microRNA precursor is filed under the name Dasypus novemcinctus (nine-banded armadillo). Its description in RNAcentral is "Dno-Mir-769_pre stem-loop". It matches the Rfam family "mir-769 microRNA precursor family", at positions 12 to 72 of the family's 81-position model. Lineage: Eukaryota; Metazoa; Chordata; Mammalia; Cingulata; Dasypodidae. The record is from RNAcentral.